RNAcentral lists this ribosomal RNA (1547 nucleotides) under Companilactobacillus paralimentarius DSM 13238 = JCM 10415. RNAcentral describes it as "bacterial SSU rRNA". It matches the Rfam family "Bacterial small subunit ribosomal RNA". The record is from RNAcentral. Lineage: Bacteria; Bacillati; Bacillota; Bacilli; Lactobacillales; Lactobacillaceae.
AGAGUUUGAUCCUGGCUCAGGACGAACGCUGGCGGCAUGCCUAAUACAUGCAAGUCGAACGAACCAUCCUGAUGAUUGAAGCUUGCUUCAUGAUUCAGACCUUGGUGAGUGGCGGACGGGUGAGUAACACGUGGGUAACCUGCCCAGAAGUGGGGGAUAACAUUUGGAAACAAGUGCUAAUACCGCAUAACAACUUAGAUCACAUGAUCUUUGUUUAAAAGAUGGUUUUGCUAUCUCUUCUGGAUGGACCCGCGGCGUAUUAGCUAGUUGGUGAGGUAAUAGCUCACCAAGGCGAUGAUACGUAGCCGACCUGAGAGGGUAAUCGGCCACAUUGGGACUGAGACACGGCCCAAACUCCUACGGGAGGCAGCAGUAGGGAAUCUUCCACAAUGGACGAAAGUCUGAUGGAGCAAUGCCGCGUGAGUGAAGAAGGUUUUCGGAUCGUAAAACUCUGUUGUUGAAGAAGAAUAUAUGUGAGAGUAACUGUUCACGUACUGACGGUAUUCAACCAGAAAGCCACGGCUAACUACGUGCCAGCAGCCGCGGUAAUACGUAGGUGGCAAGCGUUGUCCGGAUUUAUUGGGCGUAAAGAGAAUGUAGGCGGUUUAUUAAGUUUGAAGUGAAAGCCCUCGGCUCAACCGAGGAAGUGCUUCGAAAACUGGUAAACUUGAGUGCAGAAGAGGAAAGUGGAACUCCAUGUGUAGCGGUGGAAUGCGUAGAUAUAUGGAAGAACACCAGUGGCGAAGGCGGCUUUCUGGUCUGUAACUGACGCUGAGAUUCGAAAGCAUGGGUAGCAAACAGGAUUAGAUACCCUGGUAGUCCAUGCCGUAAACGAUGAGUGCUAAGUGUUGGAGGGUUUCCGCCCUUCAGUGCUGCAGCUAACGCAUUAAGCACUCCGCCUGGGGAGUACGAUCGCAAGAUUGAAACUCAAAGGAAUUGACGGGGGCCCGCACAAGCGGUGGAGCAUGUGGUUUAAUUCGAAGCAACGCGAAGAACCUUACCAGGUCUUGACAUACCAUGAAAAGCUUAGAGAUAAGUCUUUCCCUUCGGGGACAUGGAUACAGGUGGUGCAUGGUUGUCGUCAGCUCGUGUCGUGAGAUGUUGGGUUAAGUCCCGCAACGAGCGCAACCCUUAUUAUCAGUUGCCAGCAUUCAGUUGGGCACUCUGGUGAGACUGCCGGUGAUAAACCGGAGGAAGGUGGGGACGACGUCAAAUCAUCAUGCCCCUUAUGACCUGGGCUACACACGUGCUACAAUGGUCGGUACAACGUGCUGCGAACUCGCGAGGGCAAGCAAAUCACUUAAAACCGAUCUCAGUUCGGAUUGUAGGCUGCAACUCGCCUACAUGAAGCUGGAAUCGCUAGUAAUCGCGGAUCAGCAUGCCGCGGUGAAUACGUUCCCGGGCCUUGUACACACCGCCCGUCACACCAUGAGAGUUUGUAACACCCAAAGUCGGUGGGGUAACCCUUCGGGGAACUAGCCGCCUAAGGUGGGACAAAUGAUUAGGGUGAAGUCGUAACAAGGUAGCCGUAGGAGAACCUGCGGCUG